GGUGUGAAAAAGGUCAUGGUUUCUCCAAUCUCCAAAGGAUCAAAAGAUUCAUGGGUUUCUCUAUCUUAUUUCGCCCUCUCAUUCUGAUCAUAUUCAUUGCCUCCAUCUUUACCAUGCAGCUAUCUCAUGUUAACGCAGGUAGACCCCUGCCAAACCCACCGCCUGCUCCCUCUAGAGCCAAGCCGCAGCAUGCGAUUAGACCAGGGGGACCACCUCAAGCAUAAAAUAAGAGUCUGAGUUCCUAAUGUUUGUAUAAACUUUAUAUUAUAUCUUUUAGAGGAUUGAUUUCUCUUGCUUUUUCAAAUUUUUAUGAUUUCCUAAUUCCGAUGUUAAUUAUCAUGUUGAUGGUUUAAUUUUAUUUUGAUAUGGAACGAUACAAUGGGUCGACUUUUCCUUUUCUUA
Alnus glutinosa is the source of this 402-nucleotide long non-coding RNA. RefSeq lists it as uncharacterized. Lineage: Eukaryota; Viridiplantae; Streptophyta; Magnoliopsida; Fagales; Betulaceae. The transcript has 2 exons. The record is from RefSeq and is a predicted model, not a curated record.